Molecule: ribosomal RNA, 552 nt
Filed under: Trichobilharzia franki
Lineage: Eukaryota; Metazoa; Platyhelminthes; Trematoda; Strigeidida; Schistosomatidae
Description: partial 28S ribosomal RNA
Source: RNAcentral
GAGAGUAAACAGUGCGUGAAACCGCUCAGAGGUAAACGGGUGGAGUUGAACUGCGAUCCUUGGGAAUUCAGCUGAUGAGCAUGAUUUGUGCUUGGGCAUAUUGACCGCCUUUCAGUGUCUGCUUAGCUGCGGGUGCCUGCCUCUGGUGGGUAUGUGUGGUGCGCUUAUCAUGUGCCGCACGCAUUGGAGGGUGUAUGAGUCUGCUUGUCGGUGCACUUUCUCAGGGUGUUCACCACGACCGGCACUGCUGUCUGUCUGCUUUGGUCAAACUGAUCAGGUCUGAUUUACGUUGGGCUUGGUUGGGUUGGCAGGUGACUCACUGGUCCAUUCUGUGGGCUAUGAGUGUUACUAGCCGGCCUUAGUGGAUCUGUACGGUGUGUCGGAGACGGCGGCUUUGCAUAUGCGCUCUGUCCUUCAGGCGUGGUUGAGUCUGGUCGACUUGUUGCUAGUUUCGGCUGGUCAGUUGAUGGCUUGAUCAUGUUCAGUUGGCAGUGGUGUGUGUGUCUUAGUUUGGGCCAAUAGUCUGUGGUGUUGUGGUAGACUAUCCACCUG